RNAcentral lists this ribosomal RNA (496 nucleotides) under uncultured bacterium. Its description in RNAcentral is "partial 16S ribosomal RNA". It matches the Rfam family "Bacterial small subunit ribosomal RNA", at positions 29 to 507 of the family's 1533-position model. The record is from RNAcentral.
AUGCACGCUGGCGGCGUGCCUAAUACCUGCAAGUCGAGCGAACAGACGAGGAGCUUGCUCCUCUGACGUUAGCGGCGGACGGGUGAGUAACACGUGGAUAACCUACCUAUAAGACUGGGAUAACUUCGGGAAACCGGAGCUAAUACCGGAUAAUAUAUUGAACCGCAUGGUUCAAUAGUGAAAGACGGUUUUGCUGUCACUUAUAGAUGGAUCCGCGCCGCAUUAGCUAGUUGGUAAGGUAACGGCUUACCAAGGCAACGAUGCGUAGCCGACCUGAGAGGGUGAUCGGCCACACUGGAACUGAGACACGGUCCAGACUCCUACGGGAGGCAGCAGUAGGGAAUCUUCCGCAAUGGGCGAAAGCCUGACGGAGCAACGCCGCGUGAGUGAUGAAGGUCUUCGGAUCGUAAAACUCUGUUAUUAGGGAAGAACAAAUGUGUAAGUAACUAUGCACGUCUUGACGGUACCUAAUCAGAAAGCCACGGCUAACUGCGUG